This 499-nucleotide unclassified non-coding RNA is filed under the name uncultured Glomus. RNAcentral describes it as "SSU rRNA". It matches the Rfam family "Eukaryotic small subunit ribosomal RNA", at positions 591 to 1092 of the family's 1831-position model. Lineage: Eukaryota; Fungi; Glomeromycota; Glomeromycetes; Glomerales; Glomeraceae. The record is from RNAcentral.
CCAAUAGCGUAUAUUAAAGUUGUUGCAGUUAAAAAGCUCGUAGUUGAAUUUCGGGACCAUCAUGUCGGUCGUGCCUCGGUACGUACUGGCAUUGUUGGUUUCUCCCUUCUGACGAACCAUGAUGUCAUUUAUUUGGUGUUGUGGGAAAUCAGGACUGUUACUUUGAAAAAAUUAGAGUGUUUAAAGCAGGCUCACGCUUGAAUACAUUAGCAUGGAAUAAUGAAAUAGGACGUUUGAUUCUAUUUUGUUGGUUUCUAGGAUCGACGUAAUGAUUAAUAGGGAUAGUUGGGGGCAUUAGUAUUCAAUUGUCAGAGGUGAAAUUCUUGGAUUUAUUGAAGACUAACUACUGCGAAAGCAUUUGCCAAGGAUGUUUUCAUUAAUCAAGAACGAAAGUUAGGGGAUCGAAGACGAUCAGAUACCGUCGUAGUCUUAACCAUAAACUAUGCCGACUAGGGAUCGGAUGAUGUUAAUUUUUUAGUGACUCAUUCGGCGCCUUACG